UCACCUCUUCCCAUCCCGAACAGAGAAGUUAAGCCCGCCUGCGCAGAUGGUACUGCAAUUAUGUGGGAGAGUAUGUCGUCGCCUUUC
RNAcentral lists this ribosomal RNA (87 nucleotides) under Flavobacterium hydrophilum. Lineage: Bacteria; Pseudomonadati; Bacteroidota; Flavobacteriia; Flavobacteriales; Flavobacteriaceae. The record is from RNAcentral.